RNAcentral lists this unclassified non-coding RNA (236 nucleotides) under fungal sp. Its description in RNAcentral is "partial internal transcribed spacer region". The stretch from base 1 to 46 matches the Rfam family "Eukaryotic small subunit ribosomal RNA", at positions 1786 to 1831 of the family's 1831-position model. The record is from RNAcentral. Lineage: Eukaryota; Fungi.
AAGUCGUAACAAGGUUUCCGUAGGUGAACCUGCGGAAGGAUCAUUCAUAAUGAGUGUAUAAUGGCACUCUUCAAAAUCCAUUACCCACCUUGUGUGCAAUGUCGAAAGAGGUCGUAGCUUUUUUGGUUACUUCCUCUUUUCAUACAUACUCGUUUUGAUUGCAGUAUCCAGUCUACAUAUCUAGAGUAAUAAAAAAACUCGAAAUACAACUUUCAACAACGGAUCUCUUGGCUCUC